RNAcentral lists this ribosomal RNA (522 nucleotides) under uncultured bacterium. RNAcentral describes it as "bacterial SSU rRNA". It matches the Rfam family "Bacterial small subunit ribosomal RNA", at positions 28 to 545 of the family's 1533-position model. The record is from RNAcentral.
AUUGAACGCUGGCGGCAUGCUUUACACAUGCAAGUCGAACGGCAGCGCGGGCUUCGGCCUGGCGGCGAGUGGCGAACGGGUGAGUAAUGCAUCGGAACGUGCCCAGUAGUGGGGGAUAGCCCGGCGAAAGCCGGAUUAAUACCGCAUACGACCUGAGGGUGAAAGCGGGGGACCGAAAGGCCUCGCGCUAUUGGAGCGGCCGAUGUCGGAUUAGCUAGUUGGUGGGGUAAAGGCUUACCAAGGCGACGAUCCGUAGCUGGUCUGAGAGGACGACCAGCCACACUGGGACUGAGACACGGCCCAGACUCCUACGGGAGGCAGCAGUGGGGAAUUUUGGACAAUGGGGGCAACCCUGAUCCAGCCAUGCCGCGUGCGGGAAGAAGGCCUUCGGGUUGUAAACCGCUUUUGUUCGGGAAGAAAUCCUCUGGGCUAAUACCCCGGGGGGAUGACGGUACCGGAAGAAUAAGCACCGGCUAACUACGUGCCAGCAGCCGCGGUAAUACGUAGGGUGCGAGCGUUAAU